This 775-nucleotide ribosomal RNA is filed under the name uncultured Neocallimastigales. Its description in RNAcentral is "partial large subunit ribosomal RNA". It matches the Rfam family "Eukaryotic large subunit ribosomal RNA", at positions 24 to 627 of the family's 3401-position model. Lineage: Eukaryota; Fungi; Neocallimastigomycota; Neocallimastigomycetes; Neocallimastigales. The record is from RNAcentral.
UAUCUCUGUAGAGUCUGCAUAUCAAUAAGCGGAGGAAAAGAAACUAACUAGGAUUCCCUCAGUAACGGCGAGUGAAGCGGGAAGAGCUCAAAUUUGAAAUCUUCAAGGUUCUACCUUGACGAAUUGUAGUUUAAAGAAGUGUUUUCUGUUGGUGUUUUGGUAAAAGUUCUUUGGAAUAGGACAUCAUAGAGGGUGAGAAUCCCGUAUUUGACCAUUAUUUCCAGCUUUGUGAUACACUUUCAAAGAGUCGGAUUGUUUGGGAAUGCAGUCCAAAAUGGGUGGUAAAUUUCAUCUAAAGCUAAAUAUUGGCGAGAGACCGAUAGCGAACAAGUACCGUGAGGGAAAGAUGAAAAGAACUUUGAAAAGAGAGUUAAACAGUACGUGAAAUUGUCAAAAGGGAAGCGUUUGACACCAGUGUUGUUUUCUCGAAAAUCAAUUAAAAAAGGCAGGAUUUUGUGUUGUAUUGACUUUAUCAGCUUUCUGCACUCUUUUCUUGUCUUUUUUAAUGCACUUUUCGUUUAACAAGUCAACAUCAAUUUCUUUUGUUGUAAAAGGGUCAUUGGAAGGUGGCUUUCUUUUCGGAGAAAGUGUUUAUAGCCUUUGGCCUCUGCAAUCGGAGAGAUUGAGGUCUGCAGCGUAGAUCCUUCGGGGUUAGAUACAUUUGUGCUAAGUUAGUAGCCUUUCAUAGACAACUUGUUGACUAUGAUCAGUCAUGUAGCUUACUCGCUUAUGCUAUUUUACCUACGCUUAGGAUGUUGAUAGUCACAGCGUGUAC